Long non-coding RNA from Armigeres subalbatus, 2619 nucleotides. RefSeq lists it as uncharacterized. The record is from RefSeq and is a predicted model, not a curated record. The transcript has 2 exons. NCBI's taxonomy places the organism in Eukaryota, Metazoa, Arthropoda, Insecta, Diptera, Culicidae.
UGUUAAUGUAGUAGUGAGCGCAUACUUUUUCACUAAUACCAAUGUCAAUCCAUCUUUGGUGACAGUUGGAUGUAAACAUUCCAAGACCAGUGCCAACAGAAAUCGCUCGGAGUGUCCGGAGAAGUGGAACGUAGCAGCGCAGAAGGAAAAGAUCCCGGAGACGGUAGUCUGUUAAAGUGUGAUAGUAAUGAAGAGGAUGAAGACGAUUUCGCUGCAUUCGACGAGGACAUUAUCCAUAGUGGAAAUGGAGGUUGAGGCUCGCCCAGAAAAAACAUCAAAAAUUCAUUGUGGUUACCUCCUCGAAGCCACUGCUACCAAUCGGAUCACCAAUCCCAUCGGUGGGGCGCGAUUCUGCUGUUGCGCCAGGAGUAGGGACAGUAACAGGGACGGCAACAGUAACACAAAAGCAGGAAAACAUCGAAAUGGAAUUCGGUUUGAUGGACUUCGGGGCUUUACCGGCGGUUGAAAGUGGCGCUGAAAUUAGUGAACUAAGCGGAAAGACAACGUUGGCGAUGACUGCUGCCAAUUAUUCCAAAUCUUGAUAGCAACAGCAAAAAUAAGGGUAAAAUGUAUUAUAUUACGCCAUCCGGGAAGAAAUUGCGCACUCCACUACUCUGCAUUCAUCGCCACGGCAUUGACGCUAUGGGAUAUGGAACUGCAUAUCGAUCAGUGUAAUUGUAAUUUUUAUUAGGAACGAUAACCGGAUAGCCUACGAUCGAGACAGAAAAGAAAACUAGCAGCAGAAGCCAAUGCACUCAACAACCCCACCGCCCCAGCGGCAUUCCACCCAUAAGCAGAGUAAUCAUUUGGUGAACCACUCGUAACCAUCACCCCUAGUACGCUUAACCGGGUAAGCCCCCACAUGGCAAGGCGUCCUGAGCUAAGGAGUCCUGAUGCCGCCGCAGCCGAAAAGCUAUCCAUCGCCGUACGUGUCAUCGUACAAUUCGCAGACCAUGAUGUAAACGCAACUACCGAUGCAUCCGGGAAAGCUUAGCCGUCACCACACCAUUUGUAGAUGAACCCGAUAUAGCCACCAUCAAGUAACAAUAGUAGCAGCAUAUGAUGGUCCAGUAGCAGCAGAUUGGAAUGUCACAGCAGCAAGAAAAUCACUACCUUACCAUGAACGGAAUGAUGAAUACGGACAUUACCCUACCGCAAUCACACUACAUGAAUCAACAGAUGUCACACAAUCAGCAACACCUUCAGGUUUCUGACUAUCCGACGCAGCAGCAGUAACAACCAAGUGGUCACAUGACUCCCUAUCAGGUUGCUUUGCCGCUCUCCGGCAGCCCACCGCGGCAGAACGUCCCUCCCCAGCAAUGUAUACGGCAAGGAUGACAAAACCUGGGGAUCGUUAGUUCCGAGUGAGUGGUAAGAUGAGUACUGCAGUAACGAAUGCGUCAUCACACACUCCCGGGAUGUAUUCGUAGGCCGUUUUAUCACUCAAAGAUGAACUAUAAACCAGGUAUUGUGAUAUAAAAAAAGUAUUUACUGUCGCAUUUGUACAAGGCGUACAAUUUGGAGAAUUUGAAACGCAUGAUUUGGACAUAAUUGGAUAGCAAGUUGAUUGUGAACUAUUUGUAUGAGGAUGGGGGAAUUUGAAUCAGGUGUUGUUGGCCUAGUAAAACAAUUAACCAAAUAGCAGAAUAUUUUGAAAAACUGAGAGCGUCUAAUUCGAACUCGGUAACUUUUUUCGGGUCGGUCACUAAAAGACUAUUCUUUAGAAGCCCAGUCACUUAUGACGCUUUUUCAAUAUAAACCAGGAUUUUCUACCUUACAUCGUUGAGAUAUUGAUAAAAGAAACUUCUCAUUCAUGAAUCUGGGGGCGAUGCCCACGUACCUAAAGCCUUUCCAACGCUGCGUGUAUGUGGUGUUUUUUUGUUGGGGCGUAGAACCACUGCAUCCAUGGAGUUGAACUUUUGUGUUUUUGUGUUUCGUGCACGUGGUGUUUAAAGGACACUGCGUUCACGGGGCUUAGAAAACUGCUACGUGAGCAUCGGCCCUUAGUGCUUCUGUGCCCUGUGACCUGCUUGAAAGCUUUUAUCGUGGUCGAUAGCCCGCUAUCACCUUAACAUGUGGACAAGUUAGAGGUUGAUCAAUUUCCCGUAUUUAUUUUGAAGGUAAGCAAACAAACUAGGUUAAGAAAAACGAAGUCAAAACACAUGUUAUUUAUCGAUUUAAAAAAUUAUUUAUUGUAAAUAUUUUGUUAGAAACAUUUUACAGAUAAAUUUGAAUAUUUAGCUUUUUUUUGUGUUGCAAUUCAUGAAACGUAUAACUAUACUUGCUCAUUUUUCUUCUUUUUUUGAAAUUCAAUCUUUGACUUCCAUUUAAAAUAUAAAAUACAUGUAUCUGCAUUUUUGCUUCGUUAACAGUAAUAUUAAAUGCAUUUGUCCAUUUGGUUGGAAAUGUUUUCUACUGAUCUGUUUGUAAGAUAAUGACAUCGGGCCAAAGACUUCAACGACGCCCUCACCGUGUUCAUUCGACAUAGUUGAAAUCAACAAUUGCAGAAGAAUUCUAUAGACAGAGAAAAAAAUAUUUUAAAGAAUAGUGUACAGCGCAUUGACAAAAUGUCCCUACUUGAAGUACCAUAAUAAUAUCAAGUCGACCAUUAGUUGAAAA